UAGUUGGUGAGGUAAUGGCUUACCGAGGCAUCGGUAGGUAGGGGAUCUGAGAGGAUACUCCCCCACACUGGUACUGAGACACGGACCAGACUCCUACGGGAGGCAGCAGUGAGGAAUAUUGGGCAAUGGAGGGAACUCUGACCCGGCCGGGUCGCGUGUAUGAAUACGGCCUUAUGGGUUUUAAACUACUUUUCUACUUGGAGAAAAAGUAUCAUUUAUUGAUACAUUGACAUGAAAGGUAGGAAUAAGCAUCGGCUAACUCCCGUGCCAGCAGCCGCGGUAGUACGGAGGAUGCAAGCGUUAUUCGGAUUUAUUGCGUUUAAAGGGUCCGUAGGCGGUAUAUCAAGUCAGUGGUGAAAUGCUUUAGCUCAACUGAAGGAGUGCCAUUGAAACUGAUAAACUGGAGAGUAUUGGGCGUUGGCGGAAUGUGUAGUGUAGCGGUGAAAUGCAUAGAUAUUACACAGAACACCAAAAGCGAAGGCAGCUAACGAUGAUACAGCUGACGCUGAUGGACGAAAGCGUGGGUAGCGAACAGGAUUAGAUACCCUGGUAGUCCACGCCGUAAACGAUGAUUACUAGAUGCUUUANGUCAUAGAUUUAAGUGUCUAAGCGAAAGUGAUAAGUAAUCCACCUGGGGAGUACGUUCGCAAGGAUGAAACUCAAAGGAAUUGACGGGGGCCCGCACAAGCGGUGGAGCAUGUGGUUUAAUUCGAUGAUACGCGAGGAACCUUACCUAGUCUUAAAUGAGCAUUGAAUAAUUUAGAGAUAGAUUAGUCUUCGGACAAUGUUCAAGGUGCUGCAUGGUUGUCGUCAGCUCGUGCCGUGAGGUGUCAGGUUAAGUCCUAUAACGAGCGCAACCCCUGCCCAUAGUUGCUAACAGUUUAAGCUGAGGACUCUAUGGGGACAGCCUGCGUAAGCGGAGAGGAAGGCGGGGAUGACGUCAAAUCAUCACGGCCCUUACGACUAGGGCUACACACGUGCUACAAUGGACGAUACAACGGGUAGCUAUACAGCGAUGUAAUGCAAAUCUCUAAAUUCGUUCUCAGUUCGGAUCGCAGUCUGCAACUCGACUGCGUGAAGCUGGAAUCGCUAGUAAUCGCAGAUCAGCCAUGCUGCGGUGAAUACGUUCCCGGGCCUUGUACACACCGCCCGUCAAGCCAUGGAAGUUGGAGGUAUCUAAAGUCGGUAACCGAGAGGAGCCGCCUAGGGUAAAAUCAGUAACUAGGGCU
This 1229-nucleotide ribosomal RNA is filed under the name uncultured bacterium. RNAcentral's name for it is "bacterial SSU rRNA". It matches the Rfam family "Bacterial small subunit ribosomal RNA", at positions 246 to 1482 of the family's 1533-position model. The record is from RNAcentral.